GUCCCUGUAGCGUACUGGAUAGCGCAUUGGACUUCUAAUCCAAAGGUCGUGGGUUCUAAGCCCACCUGGGAUA
RNAcentral lists this transfer RNA (73 nucleotides) under Trichonephila clavata. It matches the Rfam family "tRNA". Rfam says of the family: Transfer RNA (tRNA) molecules are approximately 80 nucleotides in length. Lineage: Eukaryota; Metazoa; Arthropoda; Arachnida; Araneae; Nephilidae. The record is from Rfam by way of RNAcentral.